CCCAGACUCCUACGGGAGGCAGCAGUGGGGAAUAUUAGACAAUGGGGGAAACCCUGAUCCAGCGACGCCGCGUGAGUGAAGAAGUAUUUCGGUACGUAAAGCUCUAUCAGCAGGAAAGAAAAUGACGGUACCUGACUAAGAAGCCCCGGCUAACUACGUGCCAGCAGCCGCGGUAAUACGUAGGGGGCAAGCGUUAUCCGGAUUUACUGGGUGUAAAGGGAGCGUAGACGGCAGCGCAAGUCUGGAGUGAAAUGCCGGGGCCCAACCCCGGAACUGCUCUGGAAACUGUGAAGCUGGAGUGCAGGAGAGGUAAGCGGAAUUCCUGGUGUAGCGGUGAAAUGCGUAGAUAUCAGGAGGAACACCGGCGGCGAAGGCGGCUUACUGGACUGUAACUGACACUGAGGCACGAAAGCGUGGGGAGCAAACAGGAUUAGAUACCCGUGUAC
RNAcentral lists this ribosomal RNA (446 nucleotides) under uncultured bacterium. RNAcentral describes it as "bacterial SSU rRNA". It matches the Rfam family "Bacterial small subunit ribosomal RNA", at positions 330 to 793 of the family's 1533-position model. The record is from RNAcentral.